Molecule: long non-coding RNA, 479 nt
Filed under: Bos taurus (domestic cattle)
Lineage: Eukaryota; Metazoa; Chordata; Mammalia; Artiodactyla; Bovidae
Description: long non-coding RNA NONBTAT015867
Source: RNAcentral
ACAUUGGUUUCAGAUUUGCUGAAAUAAUGUGAUGUAUUUAGACAAGGGCAAAAAUUAAAUGUGUUUUUAUCUAUCAGUCUAUUAAUUCCAUUCAGAAAGUGUUCUGUAGAGUCUUAAUCACUCAUUUAGAGUCAAGUGUUUCUACUGGCUGAGAUUGGUCCUUAAAUUUCUGUUUCUCUCCCUGAAAGACAGUUAGGAUAAAGGAAUCUUUGGGAUCCUUUGACACCAUGAGGAAUUAAAGUGUAUAUUACAGUUAUCUUUUUCAUUUAAAUGUGAGUAUACAUCUCUUUUUCUCAACCUACUUGAAAAAAAACAAAAUGGCAUUUCUGUUUUCAUUAACCCUUUUACCUAAGUCUCUUAAAGCAAUUUUGUUUCCUUUGUUCCUGCUACAGAGGCUGAGUUCAGGUGUUCACCGGAGUGCAUUAUUGCUAGAAAAUGAACUCAAAUUUAAAAGAGUAUUAUUGAUGAUCCUUUUAAAA